CGCUGGCGGCAUGCCUAACACAUGCAAGUCGAACGGAGUUUCUUAAAUGGAUCCCUUCGGGGUGAAGCUUUUGAAACUUAGUGGCGGACGGGUGAGUAACGCGUGGGUAACCUGCCCUUUUGUGGGGAACAACGUUCGAGAAAUCGGAGCUAAUACCGCAUAUACUUACGGAAUCGCAUGAUUCUGUAAGGAAAGAUGGCCUCUGAAAAUGCUAUCGCAAAAGGAUGGACCCGCGUCUGAUUAGCUAGUUGGUGAGGUAACGGCUCACCAAGGCGACGAUCAGUAGCCGGCCUGAGAGGGUGAACGGCCACAUUGGGACUGAGACACGGCCCAAACUCCUACGGGAGGCAGCAGUGGGGAAUCUUCCGCAAUGGGCGAAAGCCUGACGGAGCAAUGCCGCGUGAGUGAAGGAGGCCUUCGGGUUGUAAAACUCUGUCCUUAUUGAAGAGAGGUAGCAGUGUGAAUAAUGCUGUUAUAGGACGGUAAAUAAGGAGGAAGCCCCGGCUAACUACGUG
Molecule: ribosomal RNA, 515 nt
Filed under: uncultured bacterium
Lineage: Bacteria
Description: bacterial SSU rRNA
Rfam family: Bacterial small subunit ribosomal RNA
Source: RNAcentral